GGUAGCGAAAUUCCUUGUCGGGUAAGUUCCGACCUGCACGAAUCGUGUAACGAUCUGGGCGCUGUCUCAACGAGGAUCUCGGUGAAGUUGUAAUUCCGGUGAAGAUGCCGGAUACCCGCAGUAGGACGGAAAGACCCCGUGCACCUUUACUGUAUUCUAAUAUGGGCGCUUGAUUUGUCAUGUGUAGGAUAGCUGGGAGACUUCGAAGCCGGUUCGUCAGGAUCGGUGGAGUCGUCAGUGAAAUACCAGUCUUGUCAAGGCGAGUGUCUAACUUUAUCCCGUGAAUCCGGGAGAAGGACAGUGUUAGAGGGUCAGUUUGACUGGGGCGGUUUCCUCCCAAAGAGUAACGGAGGAGUUCGAAGGUUCCCUCAGCAUGGUCAGCAAUCAUGCGAAGAGCGCAAUGGUACAAGGGAGCUUAACUGCGAGACCGACGGGUCGAGCAGAUGCGAAAGCAGGACAUAGUGAUCCGGUGGUCGCUUGUGGUCGCGCCAUCGCUCAACGGACAAAAGGUACGCCGGGGAUAACAGGCUGAUCGCUGCCGAGAGUUCACAUCGACGCAGCGGUUUGGCACCUCGAUGUCGGCUCAUCGCAUCCUGGGGCUGAAGAAGGUCCCAAGGGUUUGGCUGUUCGCCAAUUAAAGCGGUACGUGAGCUGGGUUCAGAACGUCGUAAGACAGUUCGGUCCUUAUCCACUGUGGGCGCAGGAAAUUUGAGGAGAACAUUCCCUAGUACGAGAGGACCGGGAAUGACGUACCUCUGGUGUUCCAGUUGUUCCGCCAGGAGCAUGGCUGGGUAGCUACGUACGGAACGGAUAAGCGCUGAAAGCAUCUAAGUGCGAAGCCUCCUCCAAGACGAGAUUUCCCUUUCCGCGCAAGCGGAACUGAAGGCAGGUUGAAGACUACGACCUUGAUAGGCUGGAAGUGAACGUUCAGUGAUGGAUGAAGCUAACCAGUACUAAUCCGCCGUGAGGCUUGACCAU
Molecule: ribosomal RNA, 978 nt
Filed under: PVC group bacterium
Lineage: Bacteria; Pseudomonadati
Description: bacterial LSU rRNA
Rfam family: Bacterial large subunit ribosomal RNA
Source: RNAcentral